This 253-nucleotide ribosomal RNA is filed under the name uncultured bacterium. RNAcentral describes it as "partial 16S ribosomal RNA". It matches the Rfam family "Bacterial small subunit ribosomal RNA", at positions 524 to 776 of the family's 1533-position model. The record is from RNAcentral.
UACGGAGGGUGCAAGCGUUAUCCGGAUUUACUGGGCUUAAAGGGUGCGCAGGCGGCUAUGUAAGUCAGUGGUGAAAUCUCCGGGCUUAACCCGGAAACUGCCGUUGAUACUAUAUAUCUUGAAUGCCGUGGAGGUAAGCGGAAUAUGUCAUGUAGCGGUGAAAUGCUUAGAUAUGACAUAGAACACCUAUUGCGAAGGCAGCUUACUACACGGAGAUUGACGCUCAUGCACGAAAGCGUGGGGAUCAAACAGG